UGACGAGACAGACCCUGAAACAUAAACAUAGUAUUUCUCUGUGUGCUAAAUAACAAAGAAAUAACUAGGGAAUAAAUAAUCAUAUUUCCCAGGUAGGCCUAUGUAAAAACCACCUUGUCGAAUUGGUCUGGCCCAGACCAUUGCCAUUGUCCCCACUUCCAUUCUAGGGAAUCACCCAUAAUUAACCAAACCAAAAAGGAACCAAAAAAGAUGUUCCACGUUUCCGGCGGGGCUUCUUUGCGUCGGACUGACCAGCUAGCCGAGGACACAAACUCCCAAUCAGUCAGUAAUCCAUUUAUCCUUAUUCAAUGAGACACCGUUGGUGCACCAACGUAGUUCACUUAAAUAAAUGGUUCCAACGUUCCAGAAGUUCGUGCAAUCAAUUGUGUGCUUGUUUGUGUGUGCAAAUCCAUGCGAGUUUGUGUGCAAAUACGGGGCAGGAGUGUGCCGUUCACGUGCGGUCACACCACGACCGUCACAAUUCGGCAUGUUUAUGUAUGAACCAAAGCUUGCACCAGAACUUUUGUCUAGUGGUCAGGUUUCAUUAAAUCAAGCAAAAAGGACCCCAUGAGAUGUGAACCAUGUCGAAAAAACAUGUGAGAGGGUAUGGCCGGAGUGUUUCAUGUUUUGUUAUUUUUUGCUCCAAGUUCCUGAUAUUAAUAGGUACAUACAUAGCGACAUCCAACAACAAGAGCUGCACAAAAAAACUCUGAUUAAUUACUUUUGUCCAAGCUAGUAUGGUUGCAACUGUCUAACACAAAAAUCCUCUCUGCUAGUGACCGUGGAUUCAGGUUUCCACUGAACAAGUAGAUUCAAGUGAAAGGCCUCACGGAGGCUGACACCAUGACAACAUGAAGCUCAGGCUUCUAAGCACCACUGGAUCUCUGAGAGGGCCUCCACUCAGGUUUGUGGAGGUGCCUGAAGAACCCACUGAGGCCCCCUUUAGCCCGAAGGCUGACGCAGAGGUCCCAGGCAUUAGAGGGGUCACCUGCUGCACCCCAGAAUAAGGCAGUAAGGCCCCAGACCUCAGAGCCUGGGCCCUACUACUACUUUUACCAGGCGGAUGAUGGGCAACAGAUGUUCCUGCACCCAGUGAAUGUGCGCUGUCUGCUGAGGGAGCACGGCAGCCUGGAGGCCAGCCCCCCGGCCAUCACCGCCACUGUAGUAGAGGUGGAGGGACAAGCAGUCACCGAGAAUCGCAGACUGUACGUUAAACACUAGAACGGCCAUGCAGUUCAGACGGGUAAAAUGGCAGACUGCCGUCGGCAUCGGCACCUGGCCCAUCUGCCCCUGACCUGUGAGUUCAGCAUCUGUGAGUUAGCCUUGCAGCCUCCACUCCUCUCCAAAGAGACCUUGGACAGUGUUGCAGAUCCAGAAGUGCACAUUGGCCUGGAGAACCUGCAGCGAUUCCCUGCAUUUGGUUCUCCUCCCAACAGCAGCAGCUGCCCUCCUGCCCACCCUGAGUUCCUUCUGGCUCUGGCCCUGCCUCAGGUAGCACACACACACACGCACGCCUUAUGUUAAGAGUGGCUUGCGAGUGCAAAGGCCUGUAAAACACAGCAGUGUCCCUCUGCACUGGCCACGGUUGGUUUUGCCCAUUAGCCUCCCAAACCAUUGAGAGUGUAAUGGUGUAUUGAAUAUCAAAAUUGACAACAUGGUUGACAGUACACUGCAGACUGACCCAUGCCCAGAUGAAUAUGAACUCCCUUCACCCCAUCCCGCAAUCUCAAGUCUAUUGUAGUUUUCUUUAAAUUGAUUUUUUAACACAAGGCCAUCUUUUUUAUUUUGAGAUGUAGUUUUUAAGGGUUGAUGUAAUGGUGGAUUGUUGGAGUGGGUAGGUGGGUGAAGUGUAGCAGUCAGCCAGCUGUAGAUUUACCUUCCAGGACCCCUCUCCCACUUCAGUCAGUUGCACCUUAACAAACCUGUUGCCCCUGCAAGCCAAGUAAACGGCUGCCAGGUUUCCUAGUGCUUUUUGAGAUCAUAGUGUUAAUGGCAGCCAUCUUAACCUGAGCCAUAUUGCUUUUAUGAUAAACUAGAUUGGAACAUUUAUCUCUGAAAUGGUCUGUACCUCAU
Molecule: RNA transcript, 2073 nt
Organism: Clupea harengus (Atlantic herring)
Lineage: Eukaryota; Metazoa; Chordata; Actinopteri; Clupeiformes; Clupeidae
Gene name: RING finger protein 10-like
Exons: 4
Source: RefSeq, a predicted model, not a curated record